RNAcentral lists this ribosomal RNA (253 nucleotides) under uncultured Burkholderiales bacterium. RNAcentral's name for it is "partial 16S ribosomal RNA". It matches the Rfam family "Bacterial small subunit ribosomal RNA", at positions 524 to 776 of the family's 1533-position model. The record is from RNAcentral. Lineage: Bacteria; Pseudomonadati; Pseudomonadota; Betaproteobacteria; Burkholderiales.
UACGUAGGGUGCAAGCGUUAAUCGGAAUUACUGGGCGUAAAGCGUGCGCAGGCGGCUUUGCAAGACAGAUGUGAAAUCCCCGGGCUCAACCUGGGAACUGCAUUUGUGACUGCAAUGCUGGAGUGCGGCAGAGGGGGAUGGAAUUCCGCGUGUAGCAGUGAAAUGCGUAGAUAUGCGGAGGAACACCGAUGGCGAAGGCAAUCCCCUGGGCCUGCACUGACGCUCAUGAACGAAAGCGUGGGGAGCAAACAGG